Molecule: small nucleolar RNA, 106 nt
Organism: Coffea eugenioides
Lineage: Eukaryota; Viridiplantae; Streptophyta; Magnoliopsida; Gentianales; Rubiaceae
Source: RefSeq, a predicted model, not a curated record
AAUCCAUGAUAUGGACAUUUUCUUUGUAACUCCUUAAAUCGCUCUCAAGUUUCAUAUAAUUAUUCACCAUCCUAUUGGUGAAAACCAGUUAUUUUUAUUUGCAAUU